CAGAAAAGAUAUAACCGUGCCUGCCUUGUUCAUGAUAGCAAUGGCGGGUGAGGAAAGUCCGGGCUCCACCGGAAAAAACGCCGGGUAAUAACCGGGCAGAAUAGGGAACUUGUUCUUUGAUUGAGCAUAAGCCUUUUUUCUGACAGAAAGUGCCACAGAAAACAAACCGCCUUCGGGUAAGGGUGAAAGGGUGCGGUAAGAGCGCACCGCGUUUCUGGCAACGGAAACGGCAGGGCAAACCUCGUUUGGAGCAAGGUCAAGCAGCGGUCAGGUUUUCCGGACUAAUGGCCGCGGGUAGGCUGCUAAAGGCUUCUGGUGACAGAAGUUUCGGAUAGAUGGUUAUGCGUGCUUUUCUUUUUUGAAAAGUACAAGACAGAACCCGGCUUAUUGUCUUUUCUGUUUU
This 403-nucleotide RNase P RNA is filed under the name Treponema sp. RNAcentral describes it as "RNase P RNA component class A". It matches the Rfam family "Bacterial RNase P class A". From Rfam's summary of the family: Ribonuclease P (RNase P) is a ubiquitous endoribonuclease, found in archaea, bacteria and eukarya as well as chloroplasts and mitochondria. Lineage: Bacteria; Pseudomonadati; Spirochaetota; Spirochaetia; Treponematales; Treponemataceae. The record is from RNAcentral.